AAAGUCGUAACAAGGUUUCCGUAGGUGAACCUGCGGAAGGAUCAUUAACAAAUCUGUUGUGCGAGGCGCAAGCCUUUGCACAAAUAAACCCCAAGCUGGCCCGAAAGGGUCGGCUUUGGUUGGGCCGCAAGGCUCAGGUCUAGUGUGCGCAAGCAUGCUGACCACAUAGACGCUUGUAUGUUUGACAGAGUUUACAGUUGUAAAUGAAUAAUGACAACUUUUAACAAUGGAUCUCUUGGCUCUU
RNAcentral lists this unclassified non-coding RNA (244 nucleotides) under fungal sp. RNAcentral's name for it is "partial contains small subunit ribosomal RNA, internal transcribed spacer 1, and 5.8S ribosomal RNA". The stretch from base 1 to 47 matches the Rfam family "Eukaryotic small subunit ribosomal RNA", at positions 1785 to 1831 of the family's 1831-position model. The record is from RNAcentral. Lineage: Eukaryota; Fungi.